UAAACAAAGGGGAACUCGCAUACUGGAUCGACACCCUCGGCAUUUUCCAACUUUUGUAAUUGAUCGUUCCAAAUAAUGUAUAAUAAUGGGGUCAUACGAAACAUUCCUACCCCUAUACACUAUCUGAAAGUCUUCUCAAUCUUUCUUUAUUUAUUAUCUUCUUUUU
This 166-nucleotide small RNA is filed under the name Arabidopsis thaliana (thale cress). RNAcentral describes it as "ATSL090620". The record is from RNAcentral. Lineage: Eukaryota; Viridiplantae; Streptophyta; Magnoliopsida; Brassicales; Brassicaceae.